CCUACGGGUGGCAGCAGUGAGGAAUAUUGGUCAAUGGGCGGGAGCCUGAACCAGCCACGUCGCGUGAGGGAAGAAGGUACUUAGUAUUGUAAACUUCUUUUGUCGGGGCACAAAGGCGGAGACGCGUCUCCGGAUGAGUGUACACGAAGCAAAAGCAUGGCGUAACUCCGGGCCAGCAGCCGGGGUAAUACGGAGUACGCGAGUGUUAUCCGGAUUUAUUGGGGUAAACGGGUGUGCAGGCGGGAGGUCAAGUCAGAGGUAAAGUGUCGGGGUGCAACCCCGGCCGGCCGUUGAAACUGGUUUUCUAGAGUGGGAGAGAAGUAUGCGGAAUUCGUGGUGUAGCGGUGAAAUGCAUAGAUAGCACGAAGAACUCCGAUUGCGAAGGCAGCAUACCGGCUCCAUACUGACGCUGAGGCACGAAAGCGUGGGGAGCGAACAGGAUUAGAUACCCCGGUAGUC
Molecule: ribosomal RNA, 459 nt
Filed under: uncultured bacterium
Lineage: Bacteria
Description: partial 16S ribosomal RNA
Rfam family: Bacterial small subunit ribosomal RNA
Source: RNAcentral